Molecule: unclassified non-coding RNA, 493 nt
Filed under: Hevea brasiliensis (rubber tree)
Lineage: Eukaryota; Viridiplantae; Streptophyta; Magnoliopsida; Malpighiales; Euphorbiaceae
Source: RNAcentral
GUAAAAUCGUCUUUGUAGUAUUGUGAGCACAUUUUCAUAAAGUUUCUUUCUUUCUAAUAUUCGAAUAGGUUACUUCAAGCAAGCAAAGUCCUUAAUUUGCCAUGUCCAAUAUUGGGCAGUGCUGGAGUAAUCAAUGGCUAAGGUACUAAUUUCAUGCUUCUAAUCUUUUUUUUACCUGCCUAAUUAAGUUCUUUAAAAAAUGAUUUUCUAGUCUUUCUAUGUGCUUUUCAAAAGGUAUUGGUCCCGUCAUUUAAUAUAUAAAAUAUUUGUGAGGCAAUUGACAUGCUUUUUCUACGCGAAACAAUUUUGAAGUUUUGACUUUUCAGCUGUCAAAAGUUGACAUUUGACUAUGUAGGGGUUGGUAUGCCUCGAGAAUUCUUGGUUAGUACACACUGAGAAAAUAAAAUUCAUCACACUACCAAACUUUUACUCAAUCACGGUUAAAGUUAAAGUUUAAUUAUGUGAUAUGUAAAAAUUCUCUGUUUUGAAGUGC